CUCUACCUUACACUCACCUCUAUGAUUUUCCAUCUCCUUCUUUUCUCUUCCUUACGCUCAAAAUCUCUAAUCUUGCACUAUUCUCCCAUGUCCCAAUACUCAAACAACUGACAAAAAAAAACAAGAAAAAUGGACACUGAUAGACCCCAUCGCUCCAAUAGCAACAACAAUUCCAGCAGUACUAGCAGCACUAGCGAACUUUUUAUUUGCUUCACCUCUCGCCUCCCUUCUUCUUCUAUGAAGAUCUCUUCUAAGUCUAUCCUUAGUCCUGGCCGCACUAGGGAACCUUCUCAAAUCUCUCUCUCUAACUCUCUUAGCAGAAGAUUAAGAACUAAUGGUAGCAUGAAAGGUGGCCAAGCUUCUCCAAUGUUCCCCACUAAUGGCAAGAAACGUGGCUGUGCCUUUGAAAAUCCUGAACCUUCUUCUCCAAAGGUUACCUGCAUUGGUCAGGUCAGAGUCAAGACCAAGAAACAGGGCAAGAAACUCAGAACAAGAUCUCAAAGAAGAGGUGAGGUAAGUUUUAGAAGAGUAGACCAAACCAGCAC
This 545-nucleotide unclassified non-coding RNA is filed under the name Hevea brasiliensis (rubber tree). Lineage: Eukaryota; Viridiplantae; Streptophyta; Magnoliopsida; Malpighiales; Euphorbiaceae. The record is from RNAcentral.